RNAcentral lists this ribosomal RNA (399 nucleotides) under Triticum aestivum (bread wheat). RNAcentral describes it as "partial small subunit ribosomal RNA". Lineage: Eukaryota; Viridiplantae; Streptophyta; Magnoliopsida; Poales; Poaceae. The record is from RNAcentral.
AUGUCCAGCACGGCAUACAUCUCCAAGAUGAAGAGUCUCGGGGAUGAACUCGUGGCGGCAGGACGCCCGGUCUCCGAUCCCGAGAUGGUGGACUACGUGCUCGCCGGAUUGAAUUGCGACUAUGAUCCGGUGGUGGCGGCCAUUGGUGCUGUCAAGACCUCCAUCAACGUUGACGAGCUCUUUGCUCAGAUCGCCGCUUUUGACCAGCGCAUGGAGAUGCUGGGUGAUGGAGAAGAAGGAGACUUCAACACUUCAGCGAACCUGGCGUACAGAGGCCGCGGCCAGUACAGGUCCAGGGCGCGCGCACAUGGGACCAGGGGGCGCGGUCGAGGGAGGAGCUCUCCCUCUGCUCCAAGCAGCAGCAACUGGGGCGCUCGAGGUGGCCGUCCCCAACAAUAA